This is a non-coding RNA of Paramuricea clavata, 201 nucleotides long. Lineage: Eukaryota; Metazoa; Cnidaria; Anthozoa; Malacalcyonacea; Plexauridae. The record is from the annotation of a GenBank genome assembly.
GUAGAAAUUACUCCAUAAUGCAGGGUAGUUAGUUGAAUACGGAGGGGUAAUUGAGGGGUAAUUGAAAGAGGGGUAAAAAUUACACUGGUUUCGCGGGUAAUGUUACGCGUUGUAUAUUCGGGGGUAAAUUUUUACGGGGUAAAACUUACCCCUUAGUUACCCUUCAAUUUUUCAAGAUGGCGGCGACGCAUGGAGUGGCAG